RNAcentral lists this ribosomal RNA (494 nucleotides) under uncultured bacterium. RNAcentral's name for it is "partial 16S ribosomal RNA". It matches the Rfam family "Bacterial small subunit ribosomal RNA", at positions 28 to 523 of the family's 1533-position model. The record is from RNAcentral.
GAUGAACGCUGGCGGCGUGCCUAACACAUGCAAGUCGAACGAGGUAUUUUGAUUGAAGUUUUCGGAUGGAUUUCAAGAUACCGAGUGGCGGACGGGUGAGUAACGCGUGGGUAACCUGCCUCAUACAGGGGGAUAACGGUUAGAAAUGACUGCUAAUACCGCAUAAGCGCACAGUACCGCAUGGUACGGUGUGAAAAACUCCGGUGGUAUGAGAUGGACCCGCGUCUGAUUAGCUAGUUGGUGAGGUAACGGCCCACCAAGGCGACGAUCAGUAGCCGACCUGAGAGGGUGACCGGCCACAUUGGGACUGAGACACGGCCCAGACUCCUACGGGAGGCAGCAGUGGGGGAUAUUGCACAAUGGAGGAAACUCUGAUGCAGCGACGCCGCGUGAGUGAAGAAGUAUUUCGGUAUGUAAAGCUCUAUCAGCAGGGAAGAAAAUGACGGUACCUGACUAAGAAGCCCCGGCUAACUACGUGCCAGCCGCCGCGGUAA